UUCGAGUGGCGGACGGGUGAGUAACGCGUGGGUAACCUGCCUUACACAGGGGGAUAACACCUGGAAACAGGUGCUAAUACCGCAUAAGCGCACAGGGCCGCAUGGCCCGGUGUGAAAAACUCCGGUGGUGUAAGAUGGACCCGCGUCUGAUUAGCUUGUUGGCGGGGUAGGGGCCCACCAAGGCGACGAUCAGUAGCCGGCCUGAGAGGGUGGACGGCCACAUUGGGACUGAGACACGGACCAGACUCCUACGGAAGGCAGCAG
RNAcentral lists this ribosomal RNA (264 nucleotides) under uncultured bacterium. RNAcentral describes it as "partial 16S ribosomal RNA". It matches the Rfam family "Bacterial small subunit ribosomal RNA", at positions 90 to 354 of the family's 1533-position model. The record is from RNAcentral.